RNAcentral lists this ribosomal RNA (440 nucleotides) under uncultured bacterium. Its description in RNAcentral is "partial 16S ribosomal RNA". It matches the Rfam family "Bacterial small subunit ribosomal RNA", at positions 338 to 795 of the family's 1533-position model. The record is from RNAcentral.
CCUACGGGUGGCUGCAGUGGGGAAUAUUGCACAAUGGGGGAAACCCUGAUGCAGCGACGCCGCGUGAGUGAAGAAGGAUUUCGGUGUGUAAAGCUCUAUCAGCAGGGAAGAAAAUGACGGUCCCUGAUGACGAAGCCCCGGCUAACUACGUGCCAGCAGCCGAGGUAAUACGUAGGGGGCAAGCGUUAUCCGGAUUUACUAGGGGUAAAGGGAGCGUAGACGGCAGCACAAGUCUGGAGUGAAAUGCCGGGGCUUAACCCCGGAACUGCUUUGGAAACUGUGCAGCUAGAGUGCAGGAGAGGUAAGUGGAAUUCAUGGUGUAGCGGUGAAAUGCGUAGAUAUCAGGAGGAACACCAGUGGCGAAGGCAGCUUACUGGACUGUAACUGACGUUGAGGCUCGAAAGCGUGGGGAGCAAACAGGAUUAGAUACCCGUGUAGUC